AUAACUUCGAGAAAUUGAAGGUAAAACCGGAUAAAGAAUUUGUUCUGGAAUGAACUUUUCUUCAAAAGCAAUGCGGAACGGAGGGAUGGCGGCUGAUUAGGUUGUUGGUGGGGUAAAGGCCCACCAAGCCAAAGAUCAGUAGGGGCCUUGAGAGAGGUAGCCUCUAGAAGGGUACUGAGGAACUGACCCUAGCCCUACGGGGUGCAGCAGGCGCGAAACCUUUACACUGCACGAAAGUGUGAUAAGGGGAUCCAAAGUGCUAGUACUUUUAGUAUUAGCUUUUUUCAAAGGCAAAUACUUUGAAGAAUAAGUGGUGGGAAAGACCGGUGCCAGCAGCCGCGGUAACCCCGGCGCCACAAGUGGCAUCCGCAUUUACUUGGCCUAAAGCGUCCGUAGCUUGUUUGAUAAAUCUCUUGUGAAACUGUUAGGCUCAACUUAACAACGUGCAGGAGACACUAUCUUACUUGGAACCGGGAGGAGUCAGAGGUAUUCCUUGGGGAGCGGUAAAAUGCUAUAAUCCUUGGAAGACCACCUGUGGCGAAGGCGUCUGACUAGAACGGAUUCGACGGUGAGGGACGAAAGCUAGGGGAGCGAUCCGGAUUAGAUACCCGAGUAGUCCUAGCUGUAAACUCUGCGAGUUAGGUGUUGCGCAUUCUUCGAGAGUGCGCAGUAUCGUAGCGAAGGCGUUAAACUCGCCGCCUGGGAAGU
This 708-nucleotide ribosomal RNA is filed under the name uncultured euryarchaeote. RNAcentral's name for it is "bacterial SSU rRNA". It matches the Rfam family "Archaeal small subunit ribosomal RNA", at positions 126 to 836 of the family's 1478-position model. The record is from RNAcentral. Lineage: Archaea; Methanobacteriati; Methanobacteriota.